Molecule: long non-coding RNA, 124 nt
Organism: Carlito syrichta (Philippine tarsier)
Lineage: Eukaryota; Metazoa; Chordata; Mammalia; Primates; Tarsiidae
Exons: 3
Source: RefSeq, a predicted model, not a curated record
GGUAACUUGGUGUUUGAUUAGGAUAGUUAAGAAAUAGAGGACGGAGGCUGCUUGUCCGAUAGUGAUGUAUGGAUAUUCAACGGGUUGGCCGCCAAUUCAGGUUAGUGUUAGUAAGUCGGCUGCU